GACGAACGCUGGCGGCACGCUUAACACAUGCAAGUCGAACGGAAAGGCCUGCUUUCCCCUGUGGAUUGCGGGUACUCGAGUGGCGAACGGGUGAGUAACACGUGAGUGAUCUGCCCCCAACUUGGGUAUAAGCCUGGGAAACUGGGUCUAAUUCCCGAUAGGACUGCAGGGUGGUGCCUGUGGUGGAAAACGAUUUUCUAGUGGUUGGGGAUGAGCUCGCGGCCUAUCAGCUUGUUGGUGGGGUAAUGGCCUACCAAGGCGGCGACGGGUAGCCGGCCUGAGAGGGUGGACGGCCACAUUGGGACUGAGAUACGGCCCAGACUCCUACGGGAGGCAGCAGUGGGGAAUAUUGCACAAUGGGCGGAAGCCUGAUGCAGCGACGCCGCGUGGGGGAUGACGGCCUUCGGGUUGUAAACUCCUUUCGACCGCGAGGAAGCCACCUGGUUGGAAGGGUGGUGACGGUAGUGGUAGAAGAAGCACCGGCUAACUACGUG
Molecule: ribosomal RNA, 494 nt
Filed under: uncultured bacterium
Lineage: Bacteria
Description: partial 16S ribosomal RNA
Rfam family: Bacterial small subunit ribosomal RNA
Source: RNAcentral